Molecule: signal recognition particle RNA, 299 nt
Filed under: Aotus nancymaae (Ma's night monkey)
Lineage: Eukaryota; Metazoa; Chordata; Mammalia; Primates; Aotidae
Description: Metazoan signal recognition particle RNA (ENSANAG00000003774.1)
Rfam family: Metazoan signal recognition particle RNA
About the family: The signal recognition particle (SRP) is a universally conserved ribonucleoprotein. It is involved in the co-translational targeting of proteins to membranes. The eukaryotic SRP consists of a 300-nucleotide 7S RNA and six proteins: SRPs 72, 68, 54, 19, 14, and 9.
Source: RNAcentral
GCUGGGCUCAGUGGCACAUGCCUGUAGUCACAGCUACUUGGGAGGCUGAGGUGGGAGGAUCGCUUGAGCCCAGGAGUUCUGGGCUGUAGUACUUUAUGCCAAUCAGGUGUCCCCACUAAGUUUGGCAUCAAUAUGGUGACCUCCCGGGACUGGGGGACCACCAGGUUGCCUAAGGAGGGGUGAACCGGCCCAGGUCAGAAACAGAGCAGGUCAAAACUCCUUUGCUGAUCAACAGUGGGAUCGCACCUGUGAAUAGCCACUGCACUUCAGCCUGGGCAACAUAGCAAGACCCCGUCUCU